Ciona intestinalis (vase tunicate) is the source of this 461-nucleotide non-coding RNA. NCBI's taxonomy places the organism in Eukaryota, Metazoa, Chordata, Ascidiacea, Phlebobranchia, Cionidae. The record is from RefSeq and is a predicted model, not a curated record.
GUAGUUAUAAUCAGCUGUUAAAGGAAAGUUCUGUCGCAAUCUAUACAUCUGAAUAACAAGCCAACGAAAUCAACAGUGUUGACGUGCAUGUACCAGCUAUGAGGAUACAAACGCCCCCAAUGCUGGCGACGUCGAGCCUCGAUCUCAUAUCCUCUGAUAUAUUAUUAGUUCACACCAAUGCCGCAGCGACACCAAAACGUGUGACUGGUAGCCUAUAUAGUUUAAAUUCCUUUUAUUUCAACAAGAGUUUACUUGUAUGCCACUUAUAAUAAAUUAGCAAUGUUUCACACACAGAUAAAGAUUCUUUAUUGCACUGUUUAGGGAACAUUUCAAGGUGUAGAACACAGAUUAUUGCAAAAACUAUAUAGUAUGGUGGGGGAAGAUGGGGCACCCUUUUCGUUCUAUUUUCUCGUAAACAACGAACAUUCAAAAAAAUAUUAAAACGUAUCUUCACCACUAUC